This 279-nucleotide ribosomal RNA is filed under the name uncultured bacterium. RNAcentral describes it as "partial 16S ribosomal RNA". It matches the Rfam family "Bacterial small subunit ribosomal RNA", at positions 506 to 784 of the family's 1533-position model. The record is from RNAcentral.
UGCCAGCAGCCGCGGUAAUACGGAGGGUGCAAGCGUUGUUCGGAAUCAUUGGGCGUAAAGCGGGUGUAGGCGGUCGAGUAAGUCGGAUGUGAAAUCCCAGGGCUCAACCCUGGAACUGCAUUCGAUACUGCUCGUCUAGAGUCCCGGAGAGGGUGGCGGAAUUCCCGGUGUAGGGGUGAAAUCCGUAGAUAUCGGGAGGAACACCAGUGGCGAAGGCGGCCACCUGGACGGUGACUGACGCUCAGACCCGAAAGCGUGGGGAGCGAACAGGAUUAGAUA